CCAGACUCCUACGGGAGGCAGCAGUGAGGAAUAUUGGUCAAUGGUCGGGAGACUGAACCAGCCAAGCCGCGUGAGGGAUGAAGGUACAGAGUAUCGUAAACCUCUUUUGUCAGGGAACAAAGGCGGGGACGCGUCCCCGGAUGAGUGUACCUGAAGAAAAAGCAUCGGCUAACUCCGUGCCAGCAGCCGCGGUAAUACGGAGGAUGCGAGCGUUAUCCGGAUUUAUUGGGUUUAAAGGGUGCGCAGGCGGAGGUGCAAGUCAGUGGUCAAAUUGCGGGGCUCAACCCCGUCGUGCCGUUGAAACUGGCGUUCUUGAGUGAGCGAGAAGUAUGCGGAAUGCGUGGUGUAGCGGUGAAAUGCAUAGAUAUCACGCAGAACUCCGAUUGCGAAGGCAGCAUACCGGCGCCCGACUGACGCUGAAGCACGAAAGCGUGGGUAUCGAACAGGAUUAGAUACCCGUGUA
Molecule: ribosomal RNA, 463 nt
Filed under: uncultured bacterium
Lineage: Bacteria
Description: bacterial SSU rRNA
Rfam family: Bacterial small subunit ribosomal RNA
Source: RNAcentral